RNAcentral lists this ribosomal RNA (844 nucleotides) under uncultured bacterium. RNAcentral's name for it is "bacterial SSU rRNA". It matches the Rfam family "Bacterial small subunit ribosomal RNA", at positions 100 to 955 of the family's 1533-position model. The record is from RNAcentral.
GAACGGGUGAGUAACACGUGUGGUGAUCUGCCCUGCACUUUGGGAUAAGCCUGGGAAACUGGGUCUAAUACCGGAUAGGACUACGCACUGCAUGGUGUGUGGUGGAAAGCUUUUGCGNNNUGGGAUGNNNNNNNGGCCUAUCAGCUUGUUGGUGGGGUGAUGGCCUACCAAGGCGACGACGGGUAGCCGGCCUGAGAGGGUGACCGGCCACACUGGGACUGAGAUACGGCCCAGACUCCUACGGGAGGCAGCAGUGGGGAAUAUUGCACAAUGGGCGCAAGCCUGAUGCAGCGACGCCGCGUGAGGGAUGACGGCCUUCGGGUUGUAAACCUCUUUCGCCAGGGACGAAGCGCAAGUGACGGUACCUGGAGAAGAAGGACCGGCCAACUACGUGCCAGCAGCCGCGGUAAUACGUAGGGUCCGAGCGUUGUCCGGAAUUACUGGGCGUAAAGAGCUCGUAGGUGGUUUGUCGCGUUGUUCGUGAAAACUCACAGCUUAACUGUGGGCGUGCGGGCGAUACGGGCAGACUGGAGUACUGCAGGGGAGACUGGAAUUCCUGGUGUAGCGGUGGAAUGCGCAGAUAUCAGGAGGAACACCGGUGGCGAAGGCGGGUCUCUGGGCAGUAACUGACGCUGAGGAGCGAAAGCGUGGGGAGCGAACAGGAUUAGAUACCCUGGUAGUCCACGCCGUAAACGGUGGGUACUAGGUGUGGGUUUCCUUCCUUGGGAUCCGUGCCGUAGCUAACGCAUUAAGUACCCCGCCUGGGGAGUACGGCCGCAAGGCUAAAACUCAAAGGAAUUGACGGGGGCCCGCACAAGCGGCGGAGCAUGUGGAUUAAUUCGAU